RNAcentral lists this unclassified non-coding RNA (440 nucleotides) under Jurinea macrocephala. Its description in RNAcentral is "sequence contains ITS1, 5.8S rRNA gene and ITS2". The stretch from base 235 to 390 matches the Rfam family "5.8S ribosomal RNA". The record is from RNAcentral. Lineage: Eukaryota; Viridiplantae; Streptophyta; Magnoliopsida; Asterales; Asteraceae.
AACACGUAAUCACAACAGGGUGUCGCAGGGGUCGGGUGUGAGCCCGGUCCUCGUGAUGCUUUGCUGGCAUUGCAUGCAUGGUGCUUCUUGCGAGGCACUGUGUGUGUUGUGUUGGUACGAAAACAAACCCCCGGCACGGCAUGUGCCAAGGAAAACAAAACAUAAGAAGGGUGCGUCCCGUGCUGCCCCGUUUGCGGUGUGCGCAUGGGCCGUGUCUUCUCAUUAACCAUAAACGACUCUCGGCAACGGAUAUCUCGGCUCACGCAUCGAUGAAGAACGUAGCAAAAUGCGAUACUUGGUGUGAAUUGCAGAAUCCCGUGAACCAUCGAGUUUUUGAACGCAAGUUGCGCCCGAAGCCAUUCGGCCGAGGGCACGUCUGCCUGGGCGUCACGCAUCGCGUCGCCCCCGACCACGCCUCCCUUAUGGGGACGGGGUUGUGU